UUGCAAACAGCAAUCUGCUCGACGAGGCUGUUGAUAUGAAGGCAC
This 45-nucleotide ribosomal RNA is filed under the name Cryptomonas paramaecium. Its description in RNAcentral is "Cryptomonas paramecium partial Eukaryotic large subunit ribosomal RNA". Lineage: Eukaryota; Cryptophyceae; Cryptomonadales; Cryptomonadaceae. The record is from RNAcentral.